This 723-nucleotide ribosomal RNA is filed under the name uncultured bacterium. RNAcentral's name for it is "bacterial SSU rRNA". It matches the Rfam family "Bacterial small subunit ribosomal RNA", at positions 59 to 780 of the family's 1533-position model. The record is from RNAcentral.
CAGUCGAACGAAGCACUUUAUUUGAUUUCCUUCGGGACUGAUUAUUUUGUCACUGAGUGGCGGACGGGUGAGUAACGCGUGGGUAACCUGCCUUGUACAGGGGGAUAACAGUUGGAAACGGCUGCUAAUACCGCAUAAGCGCACAGCAUCGCAUGAUGCAGUGUGAAAAACUCCGGUGGUAUAAGAUGGACCCGCGUUGGAUUAGCUAGUUGGUGAGGUAACGGCCCACCAAGGCGACGAUCCAUAGCCGACCUGAGAGGGUGACCGGCCACAUUGGGACUGAGACACGGCCCAAACUCCUACGGGAGGCAGCAGUGGGGAAUAUUGCACAAUGGGCGAAAGCCUGAUGCAGCGACGCCGCGUGAGCGAAGAAGUAUUUCGGUAUGUAAAGCUCUAUCAGCAGGGAAGAAAAUGACGGUACCUGACUAAGAAGCCCCGGCUAACUACGUGCCAGCAGCCGCGGUAAUACGUAGGGGGCAAGCGUUAUCCGGAUUUACUGGGUGUAAAGGGAGCGUAGACGGCGAUGCAAGUCUGAAGUGAAAUACCCGGGCUCAACCUGGGAACUGCUUUGGAAACUGUAUGGCUAGAGUGCUGGAGAGGUAAGCGGAAUUCCUAGUGUAGCGGUGAAAUGCGUAGAUAUUAGGAAGAACACCAGUGGCGAAGGCGGCUUACUGGACAGUAACUGACGUUCAGGCUCGAAAGCGUGGGGAGCAAACAGGAUUA